UAUGUGAUCGUCUCUCGCAUAUCAAUAAGCGGAGGAAAAGAAACUAACAAGGAUUCCCCUAGUAACGGCGAGUGAAGCGGGAAGAGCUCAAAUUUGAAAUCUUAAAGGGUUUCCCUUUACGAAUUGUAGUUUAAAGAAGUGUUUUUUGUUGAGGUUUUGGUAAAAGUUCUUUGGAAUAGGACAUCAUAGAGGGUGAGAAUCCCGUAUUUGACCUUUACUUUCAACUUUGUGAUACACUUUCAAAGAGUCGGAUUGUUUGGGAAUGCAGUCCAGAAUGGGUGGUAAAUUUCAUCUAAAGCUAAAUAUUGGCGAGAGACCGAUAGCGAACAAGUACCGUGAGGGAAAGAUGAAAAGAACUUUGAAAAGAGAGUUAAACAGUACGUGAAAUUGUCAAAAGGGAAGCGUUUGACACCAGUGUUGUUUUUCUGAAAAUCAAUUAAAGAACUGUUUAUGCUAAGUUGGUUAGACUUUAUCAGCUAACUGUUUAGUUUUGAGCUUUUCUUUAAUGCACUUUUCAGUUAACAAGUCAGCAUCAAUUUCUUUUGCUGUAAAAAAGCUUGAGGAAGGUGGCUUGAGAUUCGUCUUAAGUGUUUAUAGCCUCUUGCCUAUGCAGUCGGAGAGAUUGAGGUCUGCAGCGUAGAUCCUUCGGGGCUAAAUGCAUUUGUGCUAAGUUAUAGCAUUUUAUAGACAACUUGUUGACUAUGAUUUAGUCUUGUAGCUUACCUCGCUUAUGUUAUUUUACCUACGCUUAGGAUGUUGACACACGCGCGUGCUCG
RNAcentral lists this ribosomal RNA (776 nucleotides) under uncultured Neocallimastigales. RNAcentral's name for it is "partial large subunit ribosomal RNA". It matches the Rfam family "Eukaryotic large subunit ribosomal RNA", at positions 24 to 646 of the family's 3401-position model. The record is from RNAcentral. Lineage: Eukaryota; Fungi; Neocallimastigomycota; Neocallimastigomycetes; Neocallimastigales.